RNAcentral lists this ribosomal RNA (286 nucleotides) under Mantidactylus opiparis. RNAcentral's name for it is "partial 16S ribosomal RNA". It matches the Rfam family "Bacterial large subunit ribosomal RNA", at positions 2248 to 2597 of the family's 2925-position model. The record is from RNAcentral. Lineage: Eukaryota; Metazoa; Chordata; Amphibia; Anura; Mantellidae.
AGGGCCCUGUAUAGUUGGUUUUAGGUUGGGGCGACCACGGAGUACAACCAAACCUCCGCAAUGAACGGGACCACUCCCUUAUCUAAGAGCCACACCUCUAAGAAUUAAAACACUAACAUAAAAUGAUCCAUGAUCUGAUCAAUGAACCAAGUUACCCUGGGGAUAACAGCGCAAUCCAUUUCAAGAGCCCCUAUCGACAAGUGGGUUUACGACCUCGAUGUUGGAUCAGGGUAUCCUAGUGGUGCAGCAGCUACUAAUGGUUCGUUUGUUCAACGAUUAAAACCCU